GAUCCUUCUUGGUUGGGAAAGAUCUUGAGGAUCAUCAAGUCCCAACCGUAGCUCGACUCGUGUUGAGUCUUGGGCUGGAUCAUGUUCCUCAGCGGCAUCUUCAGGGCUUUGCAACCCCACUCGGGAGGGGAGAAGCCUUCUCCUGUCCUGGGGGAAGGUUGCCAGACCCUGCUCCAAGGCAGCAGCUGAGCCCAAAUGAUGUUCUUGUCCCUCUGGUGCUGGGACCCGAGGGGAGCACAGGUCCCGUGGGGCUCUGAGGGGCCAGAGCCACCCCCCCCCCAGGUGGACCCGAGUCCAUCAUCUCACCACGAGAACCCUUCUCUACCUUCAGGCCCCCAAAGUCUUAGUGACCCCAGCCCUGUUCUCAGCCUGGACCAGGCUUUCCCAUCCACCUCCUGGGAGCAGGGAUCCCACCACUUGGCUGCUCAAGAAACUCUCCAGAGCUUCAGCAGCACCUGCUGGAUUUUACCCUCCUGCUGGGGUCUGCAGAGGACCUUUGGUGGCUGGAAGGAGCCCACCUUGAAGCCCAGCUCCUCCUGCAAGCCCUGUCGUGCAGGUUUUUUGCAUUUUCACAAUCUGGCCUCAAGAUGUGGGCAGGACGGAAGCGGCGCCUCAAAGGCUCCCGGGGCUGAGCCUGGAGGCCUCCUCAGAUCCACCUCCCUGGAGCUGCUGAACCUGCACCUUCCCAGCUGCUCGUUAAAAAACAAUCAUUAACAAGAAAAAAAAAAAAGAGAAGAAAAAUCCCCCAAAUUCCAUGUCAAGGACUGCGACGUCCUGGUGGGAGCAGGAUGGAGCUGGUUGCCACCAUGGGCUGGUGGGCUGGGUUUGGACACCAGGGUUGGGGUCGAGCUGCUGGAGGAGCCAGGAGCUGGAGGUUUGGAGACCGACCAAGGGAGUAAAACGGUUCAAGAUGGUUCCAACGUUGAACGAGGAGGCUGAAAAUCGUCCGGGUUGAGGAGGAGGAUCCAGGAAGAGCUUUUGGAGACGUGAUUUCUGGAGAGCUGGUGAGGUGCAGCCCCCGGGAGCUUGGCAGAGAGGUUGUGGAAGGGGGUCCUGGCACCUCCCAGGAGGGGAAUUUGCAGUUUGGAGGUGGCUGGGAGGGCUCAGGUCUUCUCCUGGACCAGCCCAAGCUGGAGCUGAACUGGCCUGGCAGCAGCUUCUCGUGGAAAGGUCGUUGUUGGUUUUCUUCCUCAACCAGGAAUGAAAGGGGAAAGAGCUGAAGAAAGGGCUGAAAAGCCCAGAUUGGAUGGAAAUAAUCGUUGUGGAGUAAAACCAGGACAGCAAAGGGAGGCAGGGGGUGCCCUUCCCCACCUCCUGAGCUCUGGGAUCCUCCACCAGGUCCUGGUUCUUGACGUGGCUGGAAACAUCUCGCCCAGCCAGGACGUGUCUUCCUGGCCCAGAGCUGCUUGACACAGCUCGGUGGUUUCAGGGCCCUGGUGGGGGAGAAUUUAUUCUGGGAAUCACGACAUGAAACAUCUUGCGGGUUGGUGGCUCAGGCCCCAAGUUCCAGAGCUCCAAAAAACAACCCUCAAAAAUGCACCGUUUCUGUCCCAUCUGCCUGGGGUGGGUUUGGUUGUGCAGAGUUUGGGAUGGGCCCCCCCA
Long non-coding RNA from Apus apus (common swift), 1602 nucleotides. RefSeq lists it as uncharacterized. The record is from RefSeq and is a predicted model, not a curated record. NCBI's taxonomy places the organism in Eukaryota, Metazoa, Chordata, Aves, Apodiformes, Apodidae. The transcript has 4 exons.